UGCAGUCGAACGGUGAAGCAGAGCUUGCUCUGUGGAUCAGUGGCGAACGGGUGAGUAACACGUGAGUAACCUGCCCUUGACUCUGGGAUAAGCGUUGGAAACGACGUCUAAUACCGGAUACGACCCUCAACCGCAUGGUUAGGGGGUGGAAAGAUUUUUUGGUCAAGGAUGGACUCGCGGCCUAUCAGCUUGUUGGUGAGGUAAUGGCUCACCAAGGCGACGACGGGUAGCCGGCCUGAGAGGGUGACCGGCCACACUGGGACUGAGACACGGCCCAGACUCCUACGGGAGGCAGCAGUGGGGAAUAUUGCACAAUGGGCGCAAGCCUGAUGCAGCAACGCCGCGUGAGGGAUGACGGCCUUCGGGUUGUAAACCUCUUUUAGUAGGGAAGAAGCGAAAGUGACGGUACCUGCAGAAAAAGCACCGGCUAACUACGUGCCAGCAGCCGCGGUAAUACGUAGGGUGCAAGCGUUGUCCGGAAUUAUUGGGCGUAAAGAGCUCGUAGGCGGUUUGUCGCGUCUGCUGUGAAAACUGGAGGCUCAACCUCCAGCCUGCAGUGGGUACGGGCAGACUAGAGUGCGGUAGGGGAGAUUGGAAUUCCUGGUGUAGCGGUGGAAUGCGCAGAUAUCAGGAGGAACACCGAUGGCGAAGGCAGAUCUCUGGGCCGUAACUGACGCUGAGGAGCGAAAGCGUGGGGAGCGAACAGGAUUAGAUACCCUGGUAGUCCACGCCGUAAACGUUGGGAACUAGAUGUGGGGACCAUUCCACGGUCUCCGUGUCGCAGCUAACGCAUUAAGUUCCCCGCCUGGGGAGUACGGCCGCAAGGCUAAAACUCAAAGGAAUUGACGGGGGCCCGCACAAGCGGCGGAGCAUGCGGAUUAAUUCGAUGCAACGCGAAGAACCUUACCAAGGCUUGACAUAUACGAGAACGGGCCAGAAAUGGUCAACUCUUUGGACACUCGUAAACAGGUGGUGCAUGGUUGUCGUCAGCUCGUGUCGUGAGAUGUUGGGUUAAGUCCCGCAACGAGCGCAACCCUCGUUCUAUGUUGCCAGCACGUUAUGGUGGGAACUCA
RNAcentral lists this ribosomal RNA (1073 nucleotides) under Curtobacterium sp. 762G36. RNAcentral's name for it is "bacterial SSU rRNA". It matches the Rfam family "Bacterial small subunit ribosomal RNA", at positions 56 to 1141 of the family's 1533-position model. The record is from RNAcentral. Lineage: Bacteria; Bacillati; Actinomycetota; Actinomycetes; Micrococcales; Microbacteriaceae.